This 462-nucleotide ribosomal RNA is filed under the name uncultured bacterium. RNAcentral describes it as "partial 16S ribosomal RNA". It matches the Rfam family "Bacterial small subunit ribosomal RNA", at positions 28 to 507 of the family's 1533-position model. The record is from RNAcentral.
GAUGAACGCUGACAGAAUGCUUAACACAUGCAAGUCUUUGGCGAAGCUGUGCUUGCACAGCCUAGCCAAGGCGGACGGGUGAGUAACGCGUAAGGAACUUGCCCUGCAGUCAGGGAUAACAGACGGAAACGACUGAUAAGACCUGGUAAAGUCAGGCGGACUCAUGUCCAGCCUGAUGAAAAGAGAUGCUGCAGGAGAGCCUUGCGUCCUAUUAGCUUGUUGGUGGGGUAACGGCCCACCAAGGCGAUGAUAGGUAGCCGGCCUGAGAGGGUGGACGGCCACAAGGGGACGGAGAUACGGCCCUUACUCCUACGGGAGGCAGCAGUGGGGAAUAUUGGACAAUGGGGGCAACCCUGAUCCAGCAAUUCGGUGUGCACGAUGAAGGUUUUCGGAUUGUAAAGUGCUUUCAGCAGGGAAGAAAAAAUGACGGUACCUGCAGAAGAAGCGACGGCUAAAUACGUG